RNAcentral lists this ribosomal RNA (253 nucleotides) under uncultured bacterium. RNAcentral describes it as "partial 16S ribosomal RNA". It matches the Rfam family "Bacterial small subunit ribosomal RNA", at positions 524 to 776 of the family's 1533-position model. The record is from RNAcentral.
UACAGAGGGGGCAAGCGUUGUUCGGAAUUACUGGGCGUAAAGGGCGCGUAGGCGGCCUUCUAAGUCGAACGUGAAAUCCCCGGGCUCAACCCGGGAACUGCGUCCGAUACUGGAAGGCUUGAAUCCGGGAGAGGGAUGCGGAAUUCCAGGUGUAGCGGUGAAAUGCGUAGAUAUCUGGAGGAACACCGGUGGCGAAGGCGGCAUCCUGGACCGGUAUUAACGCUGAGGCGCGAAAGCCAGGGGAGCAAACGGG